RNAcentral lists this transfer RNA (72 nucleotides) under Verrucomicrobiales bacterium. RNAcentral's name for it is "tRNA-Gly". It matches the Rfam family "tRNA". Rfam says of the family: Transfer RNA (tRNA) molecules are approximately 80 nucleotides in length. Their secondary structure includes four short double-helical elements and three loops (D, anti-codon, and T loops). Lineage: Bacteria; Pseudomonadati; Verrucomicrobiota; Verrucomicrobiia; Verrucomicrobiales. The record is from RNAcentral.
GCGGGUGUAGUUCAGUGGUAGAACGCUAUCCUUCCAAGUUAGAUGUCGUCGGUUCAAGUCCGAUCUCCCGCU